Molecule: non-coding RNA, 315 nt
Organism: Sulfolobus acidocaldarius
Lineage: Archaea; Thermoproteati; Thermoproteota; Thermoprotei; Sulfolobales; Sulfolobaceae
Source: Rfam
UAGGGGAGCCUAACAGGGGGUUACGGGAAUAUCCUGAGGAAACUCCAGCCUCCAAGCCUCAUGGGAGCAGUUAGAUCUGCAGGGUUAGUGCUCUGGCUACUGCACAGAAACGUAACCGGUAUAAUAGGAUAUGAAAAUGAGUUUAUAUGUAGUCUAGGUAACUAGGCUACAUAAAUGAGACCUAUUAUACCGGCUGAAACGGCAGUCCUCCCAGGAGCAAGUAAGGAGGGGAUGAGUUGAGGUUCAACCCUCCUAAGGACGCUUAGUAGAAUCCCCCUAAAUACAAAAGCUGGGUUAUUGUUAGGCUCCCCUUAU